AGAACGAACGCUGGCGGCAGGCCUAACACAUGCAAGUCGAACGCUCGUAGCAAUACGAGAGUGGCAGACGGGUGAGUAACACGUGGGAACCUUCCCUAUGGUUCGGAAUAGCUCAGGGAAACUUGGGGGUAAUACCGGGAUAAGCCCUUCGGGGGGAAAGAUUUAUCGCCAUUGGAUGGGCCCGCGUCGGAUUAGCUAGUUGGUGAGGUAACGGCUCACCAAGGCAACGAUCCGUAGCUGGUCUGAGAGGAUGAUCAGCCACACUGGGACUGAGACACGGCCCAGACUCCUACGGGAGGCAGCAGUGGGGAAUAGUUGGACAAUGGGCGCAAGCCUGAUCCAGCCAUGCCGCGUGAGUGACGAAGGUCUCGGAUUGUAAACUCUUUUGGCGGGGACGAGUAAUGACGGUACCCGCAGAAUAAGCCCCGACUAACCUUCGUAGCCAGCACGCCGCC
This 455-nucleotide ribosomal RNA is filed under the name uncultured soil bacterium. Its description in RNAcentral is "bacterial SSU rRNA". It matches the Rfam family "Bacterial small subunit ribosomal RNA", at positions 26 to 519 of the family's 1533-position model. The record is from RNAcentral.